AGUGAACGCUGGCGGUAGGCCUAACACAUGCAAGUCGAACGGCAGCACAGUAAGAGCUUGCUCUUACGGGUGGCGAGUGGCGGACGGGUGAGGAAUACAUCGGAAUCUACUUUUUCGUGGGGGAUAACGUAGGGAAACUUACGCUAAUACCGCAUACGACCUACGGGUGAAAGCAGGGGAUCUUCGGACCUUGCGCGAUCGAAUGAGCCGAUGUCGGAUUAGCUAGUUGGCGGGGUAAAGGCCCACCAAGGCGACGAUCCGUAGCUGGUCUGAGAGGAUGAUCAGCCGCACUGGAACUGGGACACGGUCCAGACUCCUACGGGAGGCAGCAGUGGGGAAUAUUGGACAAUGGGCGCAAGCCUGAUCCAGCCAUCCCGCGUGGGUGAAGAAGGCCUUCGGGUUGUAAAGCCCUUUUGUUGGGAAAGAAAAGCAGCAGGUUAAUACCCCGCUGUUCUGACGGUACCCAAAGAAUAAGCACCGGCUAACUUCGUG
Molecule: ribosomal RNA, 492 nt
Filed under: uncultured bacterium
Lineage: Bacteria
Description: partial 16S ribosomal RNA
Rfam family: Bacterial small subunit ribosomal RNA
Source: RNAcentral